AGGAAACAAUCUCUGCUGCCUCAGCUGGUAAUUGCUGAAUCUGGCUGGGAAGACCCUUGUUGAAGAUCCUUGUUGCUGAUCAAGGAGACAUAGGUCAGAAACCACAGAUGGCUCCUGUGGGUUGUCCUUCAUGUACAGUUUGUAUGUUCCUGUGGCUGCUGCUCUCAUGUAGGUUUGGGUAUUAAGAAUGUUGUCUUCUGUUGGAAGCAGGUGAGAAAGAUACAUGAUGUUUGAAGAACCUUUUCCUUCAUGAAUGAACUUCAUUACUGUACUAAUGACAUCUGACUGAAUUUUGGAGAUAGCUUUGUGUACGUCAGGCAAGGAAGUUGGCAGUGAGCACUGUCUGGAAAACAGAACUAGACCUCCAACAGCAUUGACAGUGCACACACACUCAGGUCAAGACCCUGAAGACAUGCUGAAGAUUUAAGCCACUGAAAUAAAGAAUGAAUGAUGCAAGGGUGGCAUGCUGGGACAGCGGAGUUUUCACCAUAAGCCUGAGUCUGAUCCCUUUAAAAAUAAUGACACAAAAACUGUAUUGUGCUCAAAAGCUACCCUCAGCUACAAUGAGGAAGGUUUUCGAAAUGGAUACCUGGAAACCACUUCUUCUUCUCUACAUUUUCACCUUCUCUACAGAGGCAGAGGAGUCUGGUAAUACACAAAAGAAAUUACUCUUCAAGUU
Zonotrichia albicollis (white-throated sparrow) is the source of this 679-nucleotide non-coding RNA. The record is from RefSeq and is a predicted model, not a curated record. Lineage: Eukaryota; Metazoa; Chordata; Aves; Passeriformes; Passerellidae.